UACGUAGGGGGCAAGCGUUGUCCGGAGUUACUGGGCGUAAAGCGCACGCAGGCGGUCUCUUAAGUUUGGAGUGACAGUUGGUGGCUUAACUGCCAAAGUGCUUCGAAAACUGGGAGACUUGAGGGCUUCAGAGGGACACGGAAUUCCGGGUGGAGUGGUGAAAUGCGUAGAGAUCCGGAGGAACACCAAAGGCGAAGGCAGUGUCCUGGGGAGUACCUGACGCUCAGGUGCGAAAGCCAGGGGAGCGAACGGG
RNAcentral lists this ribosomal RNA (253 nucleotides) under uncultured bacterium. RNAcentral's name for it is "partial 16S ribosomal RNA". It matches the Rfam family "Bacterial small subunit ribosomal RNA", at positions 524 to 776 of the family's 1533-position model. The record is from RNAcentral.